ACGAACGCUGGCGGCGUGCUUAACACAUGCAAGUCGAACGGAAAGGCCCUGCUUUUGUGGGGUGCUCGAGUGGCGACCGGGUGAGUAACACGUGAGUAACCUGCCCUUGACUUUGGGAUAACUUCAGGAAACUGGGGCUAAUACCGGAUAGGAGCUCCUGCUGCAUGGUGGUGGUUGGAAAGUUUCGGCGGUUGGGGAUGGACUCGCGGCUUAUCAGCUUGUUGGUGGGGUAGUGGCUUACCAAGGCUUUGACGGGUAGCCGGCCUGAGAGGGUGACCGGCCACAUUGGGACUGAGAUACGGCCCAGACUCCUACGGGAGGCAGAAGUGGGGAAUAUUGCACAAUGGGCGGAAGCCUGAUGCAGCAACGCCGCGUGCGGGAUGACGGCCUUCGGGUUGUAAACCGCUUGCGCAUGUGACGAAGCGUGAGUGACGGUAAUGGGUAAAGAAGCACCGGCUAACUACGUG
Molecule: ribosomal RNA, 467 nt
Filed under: uncultured bacterium
Lineage: Bacteria
Description: partial 16S ribosomal RNA
Rfam family: Bacterial small subunit ribosomal RNA
Source: RNAcentral